UAUCAGACUCCUACGGGAGGCCGCAGUGGGGAAUAUUGGGCAAUGGGCGCAAGCCUGACCCAGCAACGCCGCGUGAAGGAAGAAGGCUUUCGGGUUGUAAACUUCUUUUGACAGGGAAGAGCAGAAGACGGUACCUGUCGAAUAAGCCACGGCUAACUACGUGCCAGCAGCCGCGGUAAUACGUAGGUGGCAAGCGUUGUCCGGAUUUACUGGGUGUAAAGGGCGUGUAGCCGGGCUUACAAGUCAGAUGUGAAAUCCGGGGGCUCAACCUGUGGCCUGCAUUUGAAACUGUUUUUCUUGAGUACUGGAGAGGCAGACGGAAUUCCUAGCGUAGCGGUGAAAUGCGUAGAUAUUAGGAGGAACACCAGUGGCGAAGGCGGCCUGCUGGACGACAACUGACGGUGAGGCGCGAAAGCGUGGGGAGCAAACAGGAUUAGAUACCCCGGUACUG
Molecule: ribosomal RNA, 451 nt
Filed under: uncultured bacterium
Lineage: Bacteria
Description: bacterial SSU rRNA
Rfam family: Bacterial small subunit ribosomal RNA
Source: RNAcentral